Molecule: ribosomal RNA, 433 nt
Filed under: uncultured bacterium
Lineage: Bacteria
Description: partial 16S ribosomal RNA
Rfam family: Bacterial small subunit ribosomal RNA
Source: RNAcentral
AACGAACGCUGGCGGCAUGCCUAACACAUGCAAGUCGAACGAGACCUUCGGGUCUAGUGGCGAACGGGUGCGUAACGCGUGGGAAUCUGCCCUUCGGUUGGGAAUAACUGAGAGAAAUUUCAGCUAAUACCUUAUAAUGUCUUCGGACCAAAGAUUUAUCGCCGAGGGAUGAGCCCGCGUAGGAUUAGGUAGUUGGUGGAGUAAUGGCCUACCAAGCCGACGAUCCUUAGCUGGUCUGAGAGGAUGAUCAGCCACACUGGGACUGAGACACGGCCCAGACUCCUACGGGAGGCAGCAGUGGGGAAUAUUGGACGAUGGGCGAAAGCCUGAUCCAGCAAUGCCGCGUGAGUGAUGAAGGCCUUAGGGUUGUAAAGCUCUUUUACCCGGGAUGAUAAUGACAGUACCGGGAGAAUAAGCGCCGGCUAACUCCGUG